Molecule: ribosomal RNA, 427 nt
Filed under: uncultured bacterium
Lineage: Bacteria
Description: bacterial SSU rRNA
Rfam family: Bacterial small subunit ribosomal RNA
Source: RNAcentral
UGGGGAAUUUUACGCAAUGGGCGAAAGCCUGACGUAGCGACACCGCGUGAACGAAGAAGCCUUUUGGGGUGUAAAGUUCUGUCGGCUGGGAAGAAAAAAAUGACGGUACCAGCAAAGGAAGCAUCGGCUAACUACGUGCCAGCAGCCGCGGUAAGACGUAGGAUGCAAGCGUUGUCCGGAUUUAUUGGGCGUAAAGAGUUCGUAGGCGGUUUGUUAAGUCUAGUGUUAAAGAUCAGGGCUCAACCCUGGGACUGCAUUGGAUACUGGCAGACUGGAGUGUGGUAGAGGUAAGUGGAAUUCCUGGUGUAGCGGUGAAAUGCGUAGAUAUCAGGAAGAACACCAGUGGCGUAGGCGACUUACUGGGCCAUAACUGACGCUGAGGAACGAAAGCCAGGGGAGCAAAUGGGAUUAGAUACCCCCGUAGUCC